This 1628-nucleotide long non-coding RNA is filed under the name Panax ginseng (ginseng). Its description in RNAcentral is "long non-coding RNA (PGIN_LNC012058)". Lineage: Eukaryota; Viridiplantae; Streptophyta; Magnoliopsida; Apiales; Araliaceae. The record is from RNAcentral.
AUGACAUGAUAUGUCGUAUGAGAGGAAAACAAUUAUUACCAUUCAUAUAAUAGGCCUAAAAGUUUAAAUUCACUACAUUUUCAAAUGUCUCUACGAAGUAGAGCUUAUACAAAAUCAUCUCUUUUAUCAUUUGAUGCGUCAAAGAACAAUAUCAUGAUAUUCUUAUUAUCGAUCAUUUUCUUCGCAGCUUGAUACCUUUGUACUCUGAAAAUUCCAAAAAUAUUGGAAAGCUCCUCAUUGAGUUUCUUUUUUUUGCUCCAUUAGAUUGUCUUUACAAAUUGCUUGACUAAAUAUUUUUGACGGUUUCAUGAAGUUGGGUAGCUAUCAUCCUUGAAACACUAUAAACAACCUCUGCAACUGGAUCCAUACUUCUACUUCUUUUCUUUGAAGAUUUUUUACUUGUAGACUCAUCAAAAUUAGUGCCUUGUAGCAUUGAUGAACCAUUCUAUAAUGAUGUAGAGAACAAGAAGAGGGAGAUAGAGUGUCAGAAAAAGUUUUAUACACAACUAUAUAUAGCAAUUUCAUCGUUCAAGUCAAUAUUGUGUGCCUUAAAUAUCUUAGUCAAUGACAAUCCCAUAUGCCAUAAAUCCUUUAUUAACACAAUUAAUCAUAAAUGACACAAGAAAAUAUGACAAGUUGAAUGGAACAUAGAAAAUCAGUAUAUAGCACAUAAGUUGUGGAAGUGGUUAAUAUGAAGUGAAUUUCAUAGUAAGUUCACUUCAUGCUCAAUACAGUGCUGACACGCAGACGGAGAGAUCACCCUCCCACCUGUGUGUCACCACUGUAUUGUGCGUAAAGUGAACUUACAAUAAAAUCAUGCUAACCAGGUCUGUAAGUUGCACAUCAUUUAACCUUAAAAUUUCUUAAAAUUGACUUGUGAAAAUUUAGUAAACUCAUAAAAACAUCAAUUUUGACAAGUCCAAGCAUAUACUUGUUAUAUCAAAUAGGGAGAGUUCAACUACAAGUAUAAUAUCAACUUAUAGAAAAUGGAAAGAAAACAGAAAAUAAAAGGAGUACAGUACAAUUAUAUACUUGUUGUUAUCUUUUAGUCAAAUUAUCAAACAUUUAGAAGACAAACAUGGAGGAUACUAUAGCAAAACAAACGAAAAUGCAAAUAAUUAAUGAAAUUAAACAUGGAAUUGAAAGAGUAGAGUAUAUAUACAUAUAUAUAUGGAACGAGAAUGAUAAAUCUAGAUUCAAACAGUCCAUUAUGGAAAUUGAAAGCUAGAUUCAAGUGUUACUUAUGGUAUGUAGAUUAAUUCGAUAUGAGAACGAGAUUGAUGAAAAUAUUGAACGAGAAUGAUGAAGAAAACCAGAUUAAUAAUACCUUUAUUCUCCUCUAGUGAUUUGCUUGAUUAAUUCGAUGUGAGAACGAGAUUGGUGCUAAUUUGCUUAGGGAGAGAAGUUAUUAUGAAGAGAAGGUACCUUAGGGCUGAGGAUGAGAAGUUCCACUAAUGGAAGAUGAUAAAGUCGAGUGAAAAUGAACGAAAUAAACCCAUCUAUUUAGAAAAAAAAUAAAAAAUAACUUUUAAAUUUGAAAAAAAAUAAUUAAAAGAAUGUAAUGCUCGUCGGAAUUAACUAACCUAACAUGUUUUAAGUCAUUUUACAAGGAAUGACCAUUCUAUUCC